This 212-nucleotide small RNA is filed under the name Enterobacter mori. Its description in RNAcentral is "Enterobacterial sRNA STnc180". It matches the Rfam family "Enterobacterial sRNA STnc180". The record is from RNAcentral. Lineage: Bacteria; Pseudomonadati; Pseudomonadota; Gammaproteobacteria; Enterobacterales; Enterobacteriaceae.
UAAUAAAUACACAUCAGCAAUAUAGACCUGAGGGCUGACCUCGGAAUCUUUAAUAAUUAAAGCCUGGUGUCCCUAUGAUGAAUAACAUGACAACUCUCAAAUACUGGUCAUGGAUCGGCGUUUUUUCCGUGUCGAUUCUCUUCUGGUGUCAGCUUAUCUGGCUGGCUAUCCACUAAAUGCUAAAACCUCGCUGCGGCGGGGUUUUUUGUUUU